Molecule: ribosomal RNA, 500 nt
Filed under: uncultured Glomeromycotina
Lineage: Eukaryota; Fungi; Glomeromycota
Description: partial small subunit ribosomal RNA
Rfam family: Eukaryotic small subunit ribosomal RNA
Source: RNAcentral
CCAAUAGCGUAUAUUAAAGUUGUUGCAGUUAAAAAGCUCGUAGUUGAAUUUCGGGAUCAUCAGGUUGGUCGUGCCUCUGGUAUGUACUGAUUUCGAUGGUUCCUCCUUCUUGAAGAUCCGUAAUGCCAUUAAUUUGGUGUUGCGGGGAAUCAGGACUGUUACUUUGAAAAAAUUAGAGUGUUUAAAGCAGGCAAUCGCUUGAAUACAUUAGCAUGGAAUAAUGAAAUAGGACGUUCGAUCCUAUUUUGUUGGUUUCUAGGAUUGACGUAAUGAUUAAUAGGGAUAGUUGGGGGCAUUAGUAUUCAAUUGUCAGAGGUGAAAUUCUUGGAUUUAUUGAAGACUAACUACUGCGAAAGCAUUUGCCAAGGAUGUUUUCAUUAAUCAAGAACGAAAGUUAGGGGAUCGAAGACGAUUAGAUACCGUCGUAGUCUUAACCAUAAACUAUGCCGACUAGGGAUCGGAUGAUGUUAAUUUUUUAAUGACUCAUUCGGCGCCUUACG